Acanthaster planci (crown-of-thorns starfish) is the source of this 1058-nucleotide long non-coding RNA. RefSeq lists it as uncharacterized. The record is from RefSeq and is a predicted model, not a curated record. NCBI's taxonomy places the organism in Eukaryota, Metazoa, Echinodermata, Asteroidea, Valvatida, Acanthasteridae.
GUGUCAUUUACCAAAAAAGGCAAGGAAUACAGUACAGGAUCAGUAUAGUUCUAAAUUAUGCAAAAGCUGAGACCUUCCAGAAGUUCCCAACUGGCUGAAAGAUUGUACCUAAGAAAUGAUGACAGGGAGGCAAGGCCAAUUUAUCAUCUCCUGCAGUUGCCUGCCAUGUUGAAGAAUCUCCUUGGUGAAGAUGUGUACACAUGUAGGCAAAAAAACAUCAACAAGGCUGAAGUGGUUCCAGUCAUCUGCGGUAUUUGCCUCAGCUUCCUUUGGCAAACCUAGGCAGCACCAACAGUGCGCUACAAUGCUCAAAAGACUAGAUUUGUAGAGAAAAGUGCACAGAUUACCUUGAGAUGGUAUACAUGGUUUAAAACAGUCGUUUGAAACAGUUCUAAGCUUUUUGAAAAAGGGAAUACUAGAUUUGUUAGUUGAACUUGCACAACUUCUUUUCACACAUAAAACCCCAUAUUUUUAGAACUACUUUUCAGGGUGUAUUUUUGUCUCUACUUUUUUUUCUUAAAGGCAUAUCUGAGUAAAUAAAACUUACAAAGCAUAAGACAAAUUGUUCACUCAAGUGCAGACAUUUCAAAAUACCCAUUCUAUGUACUGUUGGUGAUUGCACUAACUUAUCACAAUUAUCCCUUCAAUUAAGCUCCUAACUAGGACUCGUAAAUUGAGAAAACUGGAAGAAUUCUACUGCUGUUAUUUUGCCCUAAGUUUUAUACGCAAGUUUCCUCAGAUUUUAGGAACUUCUCAUUCAAAAUAAGCAGGUAUCUGUUAUGUCCAUCAUGUUCUUGGAUAUAAACUUAGAAAGUUGAUAACAAAGUACAUGUAGACUUCGAGGCUUACUGCCAAAUUAUGCACCAAAAAGUUGAAAAUUAGGCCACCUGAGAUUUCAGUCUUUGCAGAAUCUCAAAUGUUCUACAAGCACAGUUGAUUUUUUUUGACAGAAACACAAUUUACACGUAAAAAUGGAUAUUUUGAAGAGGUUCAUUUAUAAAAAGGCUUGCAAAUAUAUUUUGGAAAUACAGCAUACUGAAGUACAUGCAAGGUCUGAA